GACGAACGCUGGCGGCGUGCUUAACACAUGCAAGUCGAACGGAAAGGCCCUGCUUUUGUGGGGUGCUCGAGUGGCGAACGGGUGAGUAACACGUGAGUAACCUGCCCUUGACUUUGGGAUAACUUCAGGAAACUGGGGCUAAUACCGGAUAGGAGCUCCUGCUGCAUGGUGGGGGUUGGAAAGUUUCGGCGGUUGGGGAUGGACUCGCGGCUGAUCAGCUUGUUGGUGGGGUAGUGGCUUACCAAGGCUUUGACGGGUAGCCGGCCUGAGAGGGUGACCGGCCACAUCGGGACUGAGAUACGGCCCAGACUCCUACGGGAGGCAGCAGUGGGGAAUAUUGCACAAUGGGCGGAAGCCUGAUGCAGCAACGCCGCGUGCGGGAUGCCGGCCUUCGGGUUGUAAACCGCUUUCGCCUGUGACGAAGCGUGAGUGACGGUAAUGGGUAAAGAAGCACCGGCUAACUACGUG
This 468-nucleotide ribosomal RNA is filed under the name uncultured bacterium. RNAcentral's name for it is "partial 16S ribosomal RNA". It matches the Rfam family "Bacterial small subunit ribosomal RNA", at positions 28 to 507 of the family's 1533-position model. The record is from RNAcentral.